CUCCGGAGGCUGAAGCACGAGAAUCGCUUGAACUCGGGAGGCAGGUGUUGUGGUGAGCUGAGCUCACGCCAUUGCACUUCAGCCUGGGCAACAAGAGCAAAACUGUCUCAAAAAAAAAAAAAAAAAAAAAAAA
Long non-coding RNA from Nomascus leucogenys (northern white-cheeked gibbon), 133 nucleotides. RefSeq lists it as uncharacterized. The record is from RefSeq and is a predicted model, not a curated record. NCBI's taxonomy places the organism in Eukaryota, Metazoa, Chordata, Mammalia, Primates, Hylobatidae. The transcript has 2 exons.